GAUGAACGCUGGCGGCGUGCCUAAUACAUGCAAGUCGAGCGAACAGACGAGGAGCUUGCUCCUCUGACGUUAGCGGCGGACGGGUGAGUAACACGUGGAUAACCUACCUAUAAGACUGGGAUAACUUCGGGAAACCGGAGCUAAUACCGGAUAAUAUAUUGAACCGCAUGGUUCAAUAGUGAAAGACGGUUUUGCUGUCACUUAUAGAUGGAUCCGCGCCGCAUUAGCUAGUUGGUAAGGUAACGGCUUACCAAGGCAACGAUGCGUAGCCGACCUGAGAGGGGUGACGGCCCCCAGGGGAACUGCACCCGGCCCCAGCCUCCGAGGGGGGGAGCAGGGGGGGAAUCUCCCGAAAGGGGGGAAGCCGUGACGGGACAGCGCCUGGGGAGGGAGAAGGUUCUUGGGAUCUAAAAACUUUUUUAUUGGGAAAAAAAAAAGGUGAAAUAAACUAUGCGCGUCUUGAGGGUCCCUAAUAAAAAGCCCACGGCAAACUCCGUC
This 498-nucleotide ribosomal RNA is filed under the name uncultured bacterium. Its description in RNAcentral is "partial 16S ribosomal RNA". It matches the Rfam family "Bacterial small subunit ribosomal RNA", at positions 28 to 507 of the family's 1533-position model. The record is from RNAcentral.